AGAGUUUGAUCAUGGCUCAGGGUGAACGCUGGCGGCGUGCCUAACACAUGCAAGUCGAGCGGUGCAGCUGGAGGCUUCGGCCGAAGGCUGCAUAGCGGCGGACGGGUGCGUAACGCGUAGGAACGUGCCCCCUGGAGGCGGAUAGCCGUGGGAAACUGCGGGUAAACCGCCAUAGACUCGGGAGAGUAAAGGCCGAAAGGCGCCAGGGGAGCGGCCUGCGUCCCAUCAGGUAGUUGGUAGGGUAAUGGCCUACCAAGCCUACGACGGGUAGCCGGUCUGAGAGGAUGGCCGGCCACAAGGGCACUGAGACACGGGCCCUACUCCUACGGGAGGCAGCAGUGGGGGAUAUUGGACAAUGGGCGAAAGCCUGAUCCAGCGACGCCGCGUGGAGGACGAAGCCCUUCGGGGUGUAAACUCCUUUUGUCGGGGAAAAAGGGCUGAUGGUACCCGACGAAUAAGCCCCGGCUAACUACGUGCCAGCAGCCGCGGUAAUACGUAGGGGGCGAGCGUUACCCGGAAUCACUGGGCGUAAAGGGUGCGUAGGCGGCCGCGUGUGUCUGGCGUAAAAUACCACGGCUCAACCGUGGGAAUGCGCUGGAAACUACGUGGCUUGGGUGCGGCAGAGGCAGACGGAACUGCUGGUGUAGGGGUGAAAUCCGUAGAUAUCAGCAGGAACGCCGGUGGAGAAGUCGGUCUGCUGGGCCGUAACCGACGCUGAGGCACGAAAGCUAGGGGAGCGAACCGGAUUAGAUACCCGGGUAGUCCUAGCCGUAAACGAUGCUCACUAGGUGUGGGGGCGGAAGCCUCCGUGCUGAAGCAAACGCGAUAAGUGAGCCGCCUGGGGAGUACGCCCGCAAGGGUGAAACUCAAAUGAAUUGACGG
Molecule: ribosomal RNA, 882 nt
Filed under: uncultured bacterium
Lineage: Bacteria
Description: bacterial SSU rRNA
Rfam family: Bacterial small subunit ribosomal RNA
Source: RNAcentral